GGUUAAGCGACUAAGCGUACACGGUGGAUGCCCUGGCAGUCAGAGGCGAUGAAGGACGUGCUAAUCUGCGAUAAGCGUCGGUAAGGUGAUAUGAACCGUUAUAACCGGCGAUUUCCGAAUGGGGAAACCCAGUGUGUUUCGACACACUAUCAUUAACUGAAUCCAUAGGUUAAUGAGGCGAACCGGGGGAACUGAAACAUCUAAGUACCCCGAGGAAAAGAAAUCAACCGAGAUUCCCCCAGUAGCGGCGAGCGAACGGGGAGCAGCCCAGAGCCUGAAUCAGUAUGUGUGUUAGUGGAAGCGUCUGGAAAGGCGCGCGAUACAGGGUGACAGCCCCGUACACAAAAAUGCACAUAUUGUGAGCUCGAUGAGUAGGGCGGGACACGUGGUAUCCUGUCUGAAUAUGGGGGGACCAUCCUCCAAGGCUAAAUACUCCUGACUGACCGAUAGUGAACCAGUACCGUGAGGGAAAGGCGAAAAGAACCCCGGCGAGGGGAGUGAAAAAGAACCUGAAACCGUGUACGUACAAGCAGUGGGAGCACGCUUAGGCGUGUGACUGCGUACCUUUUGUAUAAUGGGUCAGCGACUUAUAUUCUGUAGCAAGGUUAACCGAAUAGGGGAGCCGAAGGGAAACCGAGUCUUAACUGGGCGUUAAGUUGCAGGGUAUAGACCCGAAACCCGGUGAUCUAGCCAUGGGCAGGUUGAAGGUUGGGUAACACUAACUGGAGGACCGAACCGACUAAUGUUGAAAAAUUAGCGGAUGACUUGUGGCUGGGGGUGAAAGGCCAAUCAAACCGGGAGAUAGCUGGUUCUCCCCGAAAGCUAUUUAGGUAGCGCCUCGUGAAUUCAUCUCCGGGGGUAGAGCACUGUUUCGGCAAGGGGGUCAUCCCGACUUACCAACCCGAUGCAAACUGCGAAUACCGGAGAAUGUUAUCACGGGAGACACACGGCGGGUGCUAACGUCCGUCGUGAAGAGGGAAACAACCCAGACCGCCAGCUAAGGUCCCAAAGUCAUGGUUAAGUGGGAAACGAUGUGGGAAGGCCCAGACAGCCAGGAUGUUGGCUUAGAAGCAGCCAUCAUUUAAAGAAAGCGUAAUAGCUCACUGGUCGAGUCGGCCUGCGCGGAAGAUGUAACGGGGCUAAACCAUGCACCGAAGCUGCGGCAGCGACGCUGAUGCGUUGUUGGGUAGGGGAGCGUUCUGUAAGCCUGCGAAGGUGUGCUGUGAGGCAUGCUGGAGGUAUCAGAAGUGCGAAUGCUGACAUAAGUAACGAUAAAGCGGGUGAAAAGCCCGCUCGCCGGAAGACCAAGGGUUCCUGUCCAACGUUAAUCGGGGCAGGGUGAGUCGACCCCUAAGGCGAGGCCGAAAGGCGUAGUCGAUGGGAAACAGGUUAAUAUUCCUGUACUUGGUGUUACUGCGAAGGGGGGACGGAGAAGGCUAUGUUGGCCGGGCGACGGUUGUCCCGGUUUAAGCGUGUAGGCUGGUUUUCCAGGCAAAUCCGGAAAAUCAAGGCUGAGGCGUGAUGACGAGGCACUACGGUGCUGAAGCAACAAAUGCCCUGCUUCCAGGAAAAGCCUCUAAGCAUCAGGUAACAUCAAAUCGUACCCCAAACCGACACAGGUGGUCAGGUAGAGAAUACCAAGGCGCUUGAGAGAACUCGGGUGAAGGAACUAGGCAAAAUGGUGCCGUAACUUCGGGAGAAGGCACGCUGAUAUGUAGGUGAGGUCCCUCGCGGAUGGAGCUGAAAUCAGUCGAAGAUACCAGCUGGCUGCAACUGUUUAUUAAAAACACAGCACUGUGCAAACACGAAAGUGGACGUAUACGGUGUGACGCCUGCCCGGUGCCGGAAGGUUAAUUGAUGGGGUUAGCGCAAGCGAAGCUCUUGAUCGAAGCCCCGGUAAACGGCGGCCGUAACUAUAACGGUCCUAAGGUAGCGAAAUUCCUUGUCGGGUAAGUUCCGACCUGCACGAAUGGCGUAAUGAUGGCCAGGCUGUCUCCACCCGAGACUCAGUGAAAUUGAACUCGCUGUGAAGAUGCAGUGUACCCGCGGCAAGACGGAAAGACCCCGUGAACCUUUACUAUAGCUUGACACUGAACAUUGAGCCUUGAUGUGUAGGAUAGGUGGGAGGCUUAGAAGUGUGGACGCCAGUCUGCAUGGAGCCGACCUUGAAAUACCACCCUUUAAUGUUUGAUGUUCUAACGUUGACCCGUAAUCCGGGUUGCGGACAGUGUCUGGUGGGUAGUUUGACUGGGGCGGUCUCCUCCUAAAGAGUAACGGAGGAGCACGAAGGUUGGCUAAUCCUGGUCGGACAUCAGGAGGUUAGUGCAAUGGCAUAAGCCAGCUUGACUGCGAGCGUGACGGCGCGAGCAGGUGCGAAAGCAGGUCAUAGUGAUCCGGUGGUUCUGAAUGGAAGGGCCAUCGCUCAACGGAUAAAAGGUACUCCGGGGAUAACAGGCUGAUACCGCCCAAGAGUUCAUAUCGACGGCGGUGUUUGGCACCUCGAUGUCGGCUCAUCACAUCCUGGGGCUGAAGUAGGUCCCAAGGGUAUGGCUGUUCGCCAUUUAAAGUGGUACGCGAGCUGGGUUUAGAACGUCGUGAGACAGUUCGGUCCCUAUCUGCCGUGGGCGCUGGAGAACUGAGGGGGGCUGCUCCUAGUACGAGAGGACCGGAGUGGACGCAUCACUGGUGUUCGGGUUGUCAUGCCAAUGGCACUGCCCGGUAGCUAAAUGCGGAAGAGAUAAGUGCUGAAAGCAUCUAAGCACGAAACUUGCCCCGAGAUGAGUUCUCCCUGACCCUUUAAGGGUCCUGAAGGAACGUUGAAGACGACGACGUUGAUAGGCCGGGUGUGUAAGCGCAGCGAUGCGUUGAGCUAACCGGUACUAAUGAACCGUGAGGCUUAACCUU
RNAcentral lists this ribosomal RNA (2904 nucleotides) under Escherichia coli. Its description in RNAcentral is "23S ribosomal RNA". It matches the Rfam family "Bacterial large subunit ribosomal RNA". The record is from RNAcentral. Lineage: Bacteria; Pseudomonadati; Pseudomonadota; Gammaproteobacteria; Enterobacterales; Enterobacteriaceae.